This 1418-nucleotide long non-coding RNA is filed under the name Homo sapiens (human). Its description in RNAcentral is "HSALNT0327383". Lineage: Eukaryota; Metazoa; Chordata; Mammalia; Primates; Hominidae. The record is from RNAcentral.
GGAAACCAUGGUAACAUCAGUGCUUCUGUUGAGCACAGUGGUCACUCAAAAGAGGCAGAGUGAGUUCAGCCUAUCAUUUGAGAUCCGAGUAUGAUUGGGGAAAUAUCCUGAAAUAGUCUAUGAUUUGAAGAAAUGGAUAGAUGGCUAGAAUAACAUGCUAGAUGGUAGUCAAGUUACUAACUGCAGAAUUGAUUUGAUAAAAUUCUCAUCGUGUCUCCUGACUUAGGAGAAAUAUUGGGUCUGAUGAAUGGGUAAAAUUCCCAGGUGAAAAGAAUUUGGUCUGUAAGAUUUGGCAGCACCCUGAGGUUUGCCAUAUCUGAUGGCCUGGCUUUAGUGGCAGCACCUAGUGAAGGCCCAGGUGUCCUUCUGACAACCUUUACCACCUACCGUUUUGUCCUUACUUAUGUUGAAUCACUACACACAGGCUGUUGAAUUCAGCUGUCUGUGGAGAAAUUAUACCAACCACAUGGUUAGACAGAAGGAAUACAAUAUAUUGCUUAAUUUGUAUCUGAAAGCUAAGCAACAUGGAAAAAAAUCAAGCAUGCUCAGUCACUUCCAUGAGGACAAACGAAGACACUUCAAGAUAAUGAUUGAUACACCUCCCAUGCCCCACCUCUCACCCAGGACAGGAUCGAAGUGUUGGGGGAGCCACAACCUGCUUCACCUAGAAAGAGGACAUUGACAUGGAUCUGCCAGCUUUCUAAGACUUUCCCCAGAUUCAAGUCCAGUCACAUCAAGUUGCCUUAUUAAAGGGUCUGCCCACUCAAAAGGAGAAAGUGCAAAAGAUGCUCAGCAAGGGUAGCAAACGCAGUCAGAUGAUACUUCCUGACAGCAUCCAAGAGCAAGUCUCACCACCACAUCUGUCAAUAAAAAAGAAAACAAGGAGCUGCCAAUUUGUCUAUUUAUAGGUGCCAAUAAAAUCCUGCACAGAACUUUAGUCAACAAGACUAUUUCAGAAGGGGUGGCCAACAGUGUGGCCUUUCACUGGCAAGGGCCACCUUUGUCAUCACUUAAGAAAGAAAACCUGCCAAGUUUUCUGUGAGGCCCUCAAUAAAUCUUACUGAGUAUUUCCAUACACAUCAGCCACCUUAACUUGAGGAAAGCCAACUUGUGGCCAGAUCCUUCACAAACACCUGGAAACUAGUGUGGCUUCUGGUUCUAGCCAUUCGGUAACAGCUCUGAGGCUGAAUAAAUUGGACGUGAGAAUGUGACAGUGAAAGACGGCUUGGGAACACCCAGGGUCUGAAUAAAGCUUAGAAAAUACACCACACCUUUAUAGAAAAAGUAGAUUUCUGUUUUAUAAGGGAAAGAUUGGCAGGAGUUCCAGGCCAGCUGCCCCCAAGAAAGAGGUAACUAUUUAAGCCAAUAAGGUUUCCAUCUACACAAGUGCUCAAGUGGAAACCAGCCAACCAGAGUUA